RNAcentral lists this ribosomal RNA (301 nucleotides) under uncultured bacterium. RNAcentral describes it as "partial 16S ribosomal RNA". It matches the Rfam family "Bacterial small subunit ribosomal RNA", at positions 509 to 809 of the family's 1533-position model. The record is from RNAcentral.
CAGUCGCCGCGGGAAUACAGAGGGUGCGAGCGUUAAUCGGAUUUACUGGGCGUAAAGCGUGCGUAGGCGGCUUUUUAAGUCGGAUGUGAAAUCCCUGAGCUUAACUUAGGAAAUGCAUUCGAUACUGGGAAGCUAGAGUAUGGGAGAGGAUGGUAGAAUUCCAGGUGUAGCGGUGAAAUGCGUAGAGAUCUGGAGGAAUACCGAUGGCGAAGGCAGCCAUCUGGCCUAAUACUGACGCUGAGGUACGAAAGCAUGGGGAGCAAACAGGAUUAGAUACCCCUGUAGUCCCUGUCUCUUAUAA